CCUACGGGCGGCAGCAGUGGGGAAUAUUGGACAAUGGGGGGAACCCUGAUCCAGCCAUGCCGCGUGUGUGAAGAAGGCCCUCGGGUUGUAAAGCACUUUCAGUGAGGAAGAACGCCUGGUGGUUAAUACCCAUCAGGAAAGACAUCACUCACAGAAGAAGCACCGGCUAACUCCGUGCCAGCAGCCGCGGUAAUACGGAGGGUGCGAGCGUUAAUCGGAAUUACUGGGCGUAAAGCGCGCGUAGGUGGCUUGAUAAGCCGGUUGUGAAAGCCCCGGGCUCAACCUGGGAACGGCAUCCGGAACUGUCAAGCUAGAGUGCAGGAGAGGAAGGUAGAAUUCCCGGUGUAGCGGUGAAAUGCGUAGAGAUCGGGAGGAAUACCAGUGGCGAAGGCGGCCUACUGGACUGACACUGACACUGAGGUGCGAAAGCGUGGGUAGCAAACAGGAUUAGAUACCCCAGUAGUC
RNAcentral lists this ribosomal RNA (465 nucleotides) under Vreelandella stevensii. RNAcentral describes it as "partial 16S ribosomal RNA". It matches the Rfam family "Bacterial small subunit ribosomal RNA", at positions 338 to 795 of the family's 1533-position model. Lineage: Bacteria; Pseudomonadati; Pseudomonadota; Gammaproteobacteria; Oceanospirillales; Halomonadaceae. The record is from RNAcentral.